RNAcentral lists this ribosomal RNA (660 nucleotides) under uncultured bacterium. RNAcentral describes it as "bacterial SSU rRNA". It matches the Rfam family "Bacterial small subunit ribosomal RNA", at positions 59 to 749 of the family's 1533-position model. The record is from RNAcentral.
CAGUCGAGCGAGACCGGAGCAAUCCGGGGAAAGCGGCAAACGGGGUAGUAAUGUGUCGGUACGUGCCCUCAGGUCGGGGAUAGCCAGGGGAAACUCUGAUUAAUACCCGAUGAUCUCGAGAGAGCAAAGGUCCGCUGCCGGAGGAGCGGCCGACAUGGUAUCAGGUAGUUGGCGGGGUAACGGCCCACCAAGCCUUAGACGCCUAGGGGGCGUGAGAGCGCGACCCCCACCACUGGGACUGAGAUACUGCCCAGACACCUACGGGUGGCUGCAGUCGAGAAUCUUCCGCAAUGGGCGAAAGCCUGACGGAGCGACGCCGCGUGCGGGAUGAAGGCCCUUGGGUUGUAAACCGCUGUCAGGGGGGAUGAAAGCCGCAAGGCUUGACAGAGCCCCAGAGGAAGCACGGGCUAAGUUCGUGCCAGCAGCCGCGGUAAGACGAACUGUGCGAACGUUAUUCGGAAUCACUGGGCUUACAGGGUGCGUAGGCGGCUUGUUAAGUAGGGUGUGAAAUCCCCCGGCCCAACCGGGGAAUUGCGCUCUAAACUAGCAGGCUUGAGUGAGCUAGGGGUGCACGGAACUUCCAGUGGAGCGGUGAAAUGUGUUGAUAUUGGAAGGAACACCGGAGGCGAAAGCGGUGCACUGGGGCUUAACUGACGCUGA